Schistosoma rodhaini is the source of this 45-nucleotide non-coding RNA. The record is from Rfam. Lineage: Eukaryota; Metazoa; Platyhelminthes; Trematoda; Strigeidida; Schistosomatidae.
AUCCAGUUUACGAGUCCCAAAUAGGACGAGACGAGAGUCCUGGAU